GAUGAACGCUGGCGGCGUGCCUAAUACAUGCAAGUCGAGCGAACAGACGAGGAGCUUGCUCCUCUGACGUUAGCGGCGGACGGGUGAGUAACACGUGGAUAACCUACCUAUAAGACUGGGAUAACUUCGGGAAACCGGAGCUAAUACCGGAUAAUAUAUUGAACCGCAUGGUUCAAUAGUGAAGGACGGUUUUGCUGUCACUUAUAGAUGGAUCCGCGCUGCAUUAGCUAGUUGGUAAGGUAACGGCUUACCAAGGGAACGAUGCGUAGCCGACCUGAGAGGGUGAUCGGCCACACUGGAACUGAGACACGGUCCAGACUCCUACGGGAGGCAGCAGUAGGGAAUCUUCCGCAAUGGGCGAAAGCCUGACGGAGCAACGCCGCGUGAGUGAUGAAGGUCUUCGGAUCGUAAAACUCUGUUAUUAGGGAAGAACAAAUGUGUAAGUAACUAUGCACGUCUUGACGGUACCUAAUCAGAAAGCCACGGCUAACUACGU
This 496-nucleotide ribosomal RNA is filed under the name uncultured bacterium. Its description in RNAcentral is "partial 16S ribosomal RNA". It matches the Rfam family "Bacterial small subunit ribosomal RNA", at positions 28 to 506 of the family's 1533-position model. The record is from RNAcentral.